AGAGUUUGAUCCUGGCUCAGAACGUACGCUGGCGGCACGCCUAACACAUGCAAGUCGAACGAAGUAGCAAUACUUAGUGGCAGACGGGUGAGUAACAUGUGGGUAUCUUCCCUUUGGCCUGGAAUAACACGAGGAAACUUGUGCUAAUACCGGAUAAGUCUUUACAGAGAAAGCUUUAUGCACCAUUGGAUGAGCCCGCACUUGAUUAGUUUGUUGGUGGGGUAAUGGCCUACCAAGACUGUGAUCAAUAGCUGAUUUGAGAGGAUGAUCAGCCACAUUGGGACUGAGACACGGCCCAAACUCCUACGGGAGGCAGCAGUGGGGAAUCUUGCACAAUGGAGGAAACUCUGAUGCAGCGAUGCCGCGUGAGUGAAGAAGGCCUUUGGGUUGUAAAGCUCUUUCGUCGGGGAAGAAAAUGACUGUACCCGAAUAAGAAGGUCCGGCUAACUUCGUGCCAGCAGCCGCGGUAAUACGAAGGGACCUAGCGUAGUUCGGAAUUACUGGGCUUAAAGAGUUCGUAGGUGGUUGAAAAAGUUGGUGGUGAAAUCCCAGAGCUUAACUCUGGAACUGCCAUCAAAACUUUUCAGCUAGAGUUUGAUAGAGGAAAGCAGAAUUUCUAGUGUAGAGGUGAAAUUCGUAGAUAUUAGAAAGAAUACCAAUUGCGAAGGCAGCUUUCUGGAUCAUUACUGACACUGAGGAACGAAAGCAUGGGUAGCGAAGAGGAUUAGAUACCCUCGUAGUCCAUGCCGUAAACGAUGUGUGCUAGACGUUGGAAAUUAAUUUUUCAGUGUCGCAGCGAAAGCAUUAAGCACACCGCCUGGGGAGUACGACCGCAAGGUUAAAACUCAAAUGAAUUGACGGGGACCCGCACAAGCAGUGGAGCAUGUGGUUUAAUUCGAAGAUACGCGCAGAACCUUACCAACACUUGACAUGUUCGUCGCGAGCCUAAGAGAUUAGGCUUUUCAGUUCGGCUGGACGAAACACAGGUGCUGCAUGGCUGUCGUCAGCUCGUGUCGUGAGAUGUUGGGUUAAGUCCCGCAACGAGCGCAACCCCUACCUUUAGUUGCCACCAUUUAGUUGGGCACUCUAAAGGGACUGCCAGUGAUAAGCUGGAGGAAGGCGGGGAUGACGUCAAGUCCUCAUGGCCCUUACGUGUUGGGCUACACACGUGCUACAAUGGUACUUACAACGGGAUGCAAAGAGGCGACUCUAAGCCAAUCCUAAAAAUGUACCUCAGUUCGGAUUGCACUCUGCAACUCGAGUGCAUGAAGCUGGAAUUGCUAGUAAUCGCGGAUCAGCGCGCCGCGGUGAAUACGUUCCCGGGUCUUGUACACACCGCCCGUCACACCAUGGAAGUUGGUUACACCUUAAGGCAAAUCGUCAACCCUCGGGAGACAUUUGACUACGGUACGAUCAGCAACUGGGGUGAAGUCGUAACAAGGUAACC
RNAcentral lists this ribosomal RNA (1447 nucleotides) under uncultured bacterium. RNAcentral describes it as "16S ribosomal RNA". It matches the Rfam family "Bacterial small subunit ribosomal RNA". The record is from RNAcentral.